UACAGACAGGGAAAGAAAGAGGGGAGAGAAAGGAGAAAUUAGAGGAGAGAGAAGGAGAGAAAGGAGCGGGGAGAGAUACAAAGGAGAGAGGGAGAGAGGAGCGGGGGAAAGAAAGCGGGUAGAGAGAGAGGGAAAUAGAGAGCAGGGAGAAAGGGAGAGAAGGAGAUAGACUGGGGAGAGACCCAGAGGAGAGAUGAGAGAAAGGGGAUUAGGAGAGGGAGGAGGAGAGGGAAAGGAAAGAAAGAAGGGGGAAAAACCGGGAGAAAAAGGGAAAGAGAAGGGAUAGGGGAAAGAGGAGAGAAAGAGCCGGGGGGAGAGGGGAGGGAGAGAGAAAAAGUGAGGAAGGAAAGAGACACAGGAGAGAGGAGAGGGAAAGAAGGAAAGAAACGGGGAAGAGAAGGAGGAAGAGUGGGGGGAGGGAGAAGGAGAAAAAUGAUGAGUAGGGGAGUGAGAAGGUGAAAAAAAGGAGAGUGAGAGAGGGCAGGUGAACACCAGGCCAGGGAAUGGGGGGCAACACGAAGACAGCAGAGAGGGGCCAGGGGAGCACCCAGGUCGCAGCCUUUAAUUGCCGCCCCUCCCCACCUUGGGCCAGGGCAGAGGAGGGCGGCAGCAGGAAGCUGUGCAGAGCCCAGCAGGAGGAACCUGGAUGCCCCCAGGCACUGGGGCAGCGGCUAUCCCCACCUGGAACACACUUCUUCAUCUCCGCCUGUUGGCGUCCCAAGGGUCCGGGACAGUGAAAUGGAUGGAGGGGGAAUGUGAAGGCUCUGUAAUUUGGCACCUGAGGUGGAUAAUGGUUGUUUGAAGCUGUGGGAUGGACGGGUCUGGGUGAGGAGCACAGUGAGGAAUCAGACUAUGGAACAAACAUCUUCCUAAUUUUAUCAAGGGCUCAUCUUAGUGAUUUUCGUCUCCAUCCCAUUUGAUAAUACCUCUUCCCCCAUGAUAACCCUUUGGUCCCUGAUCAACUGGCGAAGACACUAUCACUUCCAAUGAGGCCAUAUAGAGCCUUACUUCAGGCCACUUAUACUUCCACUCAACGUGGACAACCAGAUGUCUCACCUGCUUGUAGUGCUUCUCUUCAUUGCUCUUAGAGGAUCACCCCCAAGAGGGGAUACAGUGCAGCAGAAGUUCACUUUCAGUUUCUGCUCACAUAUCAAACAAACCCAUCCAUGCCCAUGAUGAAUCUCUUUCUCCUGUGUCAGGUAGUUGUUGUCCAGAGCCGCCGUGUAAGAAGUACCUUUCACCUUCCACCAUGAUUGUGAGGCCUCCCCAGCCACGUGGAAAUGGCAGGUGCAGAGGAUCCAGCAUGUUAUUCUGAAACCCCAGAAGACGCUGCAGCUACCAAAUAGAAGGAGCCUGGAUCCCUGAAUGUCUUCAUGGAACAGAACAUUCUCCUCACUCCAGUCUGUUUGAACCAGAAUAUGACCUGAGCAAGAAAUAAGCCUUAAUUAUAUUUGACCAUAGAAUUCUGGUGAUAUUUCUAUGGCUGUAAGUCCAUGUUGAUUAAUACAAAGGGAUGCUGUAAAGCCUCUUCUAUUAAAAAAAGUUGCCCAAGGAGUGAAAGGAGAGAUAUUUUCUGUAAUUAAGAUUUUCAUAAUACAUAGAACAGGCUAUAGCACCUGGCAAUCAAUCAUAUGGGGUACAACAGAAAGAGGAAACAUUCCUGCUAUUAAAUUAACCAAACUGGAGUUCUUGUUAUAUAAUAUAGUAAAAUUUCCUCAAUCUUUCAGCCACCUUUAGUUCUGUAAUCUAUUAUUUCUGGGUAAAAGCAUACCAUUUGAUACACAAUCCAAACCCAAUUCUUAAUUAAUAACGUGUAUCCACUGUAUCUUACCACAUCCCAAAUCAUCUAAUACUUAACCACCUAGUUUCUAUGUUCCACUUACAUCAAACAUAUUCAUGUUUGGAAAAUUGAGCCAGCAUCUACUGCCUUAUCAGCUGAUGCAUAACAAUUUACUUUGUCUGUGCUCUAUAAUAAUGCAAGUCUGCUUGGAAAGAUAACACGUUAAAGGGUUAUCAGACCCUAACACCUUCGUAUAGAUGAAUUUAUCAGAUCCUCUGCUAAACCACUUUCGAAUCCUUGGCCAGUUCUCUACAUUUCAUGAAGAGUUAGCAUAGCCAGUCCAGGAGAUAUUAUCUUCAGGAUGUGGUCAGUUGUGGAAAGGAAGAUAGCUCUGAGGAUCUCUUUCCAGGGAAAAGAAAGACAUGAGGAUUGCUCCAAAGAUCCUCUUUCUGGGGGAAAACGCACAUACUACAG
RNAcentral lists this long non-coding RNA (2254 nucleotides) under Homo sapiens (human). RNAcentral describes it as "HSALNT0133897". Lineage: Eukaryota; Metazoa; Chordata; Mammalia; Primates; Hominidae. The record is from RNAcentral.